GAUGAAGAACGUAGCGAAAUGCGAUAAGUAAUGUGAAUUGCAGAAUUCCGUGAAUCAUCGAAUCUUUGAACGCACAUUGCGCCCCCUGGCAUUCCGGGGGGCAUGCCUGUCCGAGCGUCAUUUCUGCCCUCAAGCACGGCUUGUGUGUUGGGUGUGGUCUCCCCGGGGACCUGCCCGAAAGGCAGCGGCGACGUCCGUCUGGUCCUCGAGCGUAUGGGGCUCUGUCACUCGCUCGGGAAGGACCUGCGGGGGUUGGUCACCACCAUGUUUUACCACGGUUGACCUCGGAUCAGGUAGGAGUUACCCGCUGAACUUAAGCAUAUCAAUAAGCGGAGGA
This 337-nucleotide unclassified non-coding RNA is filed under the name soil metagenome. RNAcentral describes it as "partial contains 5.8S ribosomal RNA, internal transcribed spacer 2, and large subunit ribosomal RNA". The stretch from base 1 to 120 matches the Rfam family "5.8S ribosomal RNA", at positions 35 to 154 of the family's 154-position model. The record is from RNAcentral.